UACGUAGGGUGCAAGCGUUAAUCGGAAUUACUGGGCGUAAAGCGUGCGCAGGCGGUGAUGUAAGACAGUUGUGAAAUCCCCGGGCUCAACCUGGGAACUGCAUCUGUGACUGCAUCGCUGGAGUGCGGCAGAGGGGGAUGGAAUUCCGCGUGUAGCAGUGAAAUGCGUAGAUAUGCGGAGGAACACCGAUGGCGAAGGCAGCCCCCUGGGCUAACACUGACACUCAUGCACGAAAGCGUGGGGAGCAAACAGG
RNAcentral lists this ribosomal RNA (253 nucleotides) under uncultured bacterium. RNAcentral's name for it is "partial 16S ribosomal RNA". It matches the Rfam family "Bacterial small subunit ribosomal RNA", at positions 524 to 776 of the family's 1533-position model. The record is from RNAcentral.